CUCGAGUGGCGAACGGGUGAGUAACACGUGGGUGAUCUGCCCUGCACUUUGGGAUAAGCCUGGGAAACUGGGUCUAAUACCGAAUAGGACUACGCUCUUCAUGGGGUGUGGUGGAAAGCUUUGCGGUGUGGGAUGGGCCCGCGGCCUAUCAGCUUGUUGGUGGGGUAAUGGCCUACCAAGGCGACGACGGGUAGCCGGCCUGAGAGGGCGACCGGCCACACUGGGACUGAGACACGGCCCAG
RNAcentral lists this ribosomal RNA (242 nucleotides) under uncultured bacterium. Its description in RNAcentral is "partial 16S ribosomal RNA". It matches the Rfam family "Bacterial small subunit ribosomal RNA", at positions 90 to 334 of the family's 1533-position model. The record is from RNAcentral.